Non-coding RNA from Cyanistes caeruleus (blue tit), 500 nucleotides. The record is from RefSeq and is a predicted model, not a curated record. NCBI's taxonomy places the organism in Eukaryota, Metazoa, Chordata, Aves, Passeriformes, Paridae.
UGUCACCAGCCCUGGAGGUAUUUAACAGAUAUUUACAGGACACAGCACAUAUGUGAGAUCUGUGGACCAUGCAGAGGACUCUGGAGGGCAGAGCUUGAGAUGCUUUUAUUUGAAGAGUCCCCAUUAAUUUCUGCCUGAAUCAUGCCAGUUUGUCAUGCUGGCGUUUUUGUGCUGCGGGGAGGAAGAACAGUGUGAAGCACAGGGCAGUCUUGGGGCUAUAAAGUGGAUAUCAGAUACUGUUUUUCAUUGAAAUUCCACUAUUUCCUGGUGCAUAGCAAGGAAAUCACCGUAAAAAUCACCACCCAGAAUCCAGAAUGUCAUGGCCUGUGUGCACCUGUUUACAGAAAAUGGUGAAAGACACAGAUUGCUUCACUUAUUGGACUACUGUGAAGUCCUUGCAUAUUCUGGCUUGAAAAUUUGUAUGAAACCAUCCAGAAAAAAGGUUUAGAUGUGACAGAUUUAUGUGGAACUGAAAAGCAUGAGAGAGAAAACUCAAGAAA